RNAcentral lists this transfer RNA (75 nucleotides) under Opitutaceae bacterium. RNAcentral's name for it is "tRNA-Arg". It matches the Rfam family "tRNA". Rfam says of the family: Transfer RNA (tRNA) molecules are approximately 80 nucleotides in length. Their secondary structure includes four short double-helical elements and three loops (D, anti-codon, and T loops). The record is from RNAcentral. Lineage: Bacteria; Pseudomonadati; Verrucomicrobiota; Opitutia; Opitutales; Opitutaceae.
GUCCUCGUAGUUCAAUGGAUAGAGCACCGGCCUCCGAAGCCGGUAAUCCGGGUUCGACUCCCGGCGAGGGCACCA